AACGAACGCUGGCGGCAGGCUUAACACAUGUAAGUCGAACGAUCUCUUCGGAGAUAGUGGCGGACGGGUGAGUAACGCGUGGGAACAUGCCCUGGGGUAGGGAACAACAGCUGGAAACGGCUGCUAAUACCUUAUAAUGUCGAUAGACCAAAGAUUUAUCGCCCUGGGAUUGGCCCGCGUUGGAUUAGCUAGUUGGUGAGGUAAUGGCUUACCAAGGCGACGAUCUAUAGCUGGUUUGAGAGGAUGAUCAGCCACACUGGGACUGAGACACGGCCCAG
This 278-nucleotide ribosomal RNA is filed under the name uncultured bacterium. RNAcentral describes it as "partial 16S ribosomal RNA". It matches the Rfam family "Bacterial small subunit ribosomal RNA", at positions 29 to 334 of the family's 1533-position model. The record is from RNAcentral.